Molecule: non-coding RNA, 105 nt
Organism: Solanum lycopersicum (tomato)
Lineage: Eukaryota; Viridiplantae; Streptophyta; Magnoliopsida; Solanales; Solanaceae
Source: Rfam
AGCCCCUUCGGGGAUAACCAAUAAAAUUGAAACUAUACAGAGAAGAAUUAGCAUGGGCUUUGCACAAGGAUGUUACACAGAGAUUGAGAAAUGGUCGAAAUCUUA